CUCGACUACUAGAAAUGGGUUAUUUAGCAUGCGCGGUCGCUACAUGUGUCCCUUUAUUGUUUUAGCGUUGCCAUGCCUCUUUGAUUAUCGCCAGCGUCCUACACUGUGAACGGCAGCUCGGCACAACCGCAUUUUUGCACUUUAUAUGCCAUAGUGCUGAAACUCAUCAUGUCCAUUUCCACAGAGGCAAAAGUAGGUAAGGAGAACGGGAGGAGCUGAGCCCACUCACAGCCUCCUCAUUAUUUUGGAAUAUUUUUAGAAGUAACAAAGCUCGUAUCCUCAUCCUGCUUUCAUUCGGCAAGUGGCUCAGCCCCCGACUUGAAGACUACAAGCGAGGUCUGUGUGCAAGAUUUCUUUUUCUUCUAGUCUGUAAAAGUCAUUUGACAUCUUUCUCCUGUAUUUCAGGAAAGCGCGUUUGAUGUCGCACUAUCGUCUUUUAUUCUGGUGCCAUCCAAACGCAGCCGGCUUUUUGACUGCUAUGCCGCACAGAAAUGGCAUUGUAGCAGAAGAAAAAAAAAGGGGAAAAAAUCAGAUGUUGGUCCAAAAAGGAAAGAAAAAAAACAUUUGUUACAUCCAACAGCUAAGAAUGCUGCGAAGCCUUUGACUCGUCAUCCUCUCUGUUUGUGUGUAGGCCUACUGCUGUGUGGGAGGGGCACUCUCCCACUUGAUAGAUUUCAGAUCAUAGUUUGUUGGUUCUCUCACAUGUCAGAUACACAGCCGUCUGCAAGUAAAAAUGUCUGCCUGACUAACUGAAACCCACAUGAAACCUACAUUGCGCUUGAUGGCUUUUAGUAUAGAUAUGACAAUGGCCUUCUGUGGCAUGGUAAAUGCAUAAGGAGCAAAGCAUGUGGCAGUAAAAGCACCUUUUGUGGCA
Molecule: non-coding RNA, 874 nt
Organism: Gasterosteus aculeatus aculeatus (three-spined stickleback)
Lineage: Eukaryota; Metazoa; Chordata; Actinopteri; Perciformes; Gasterosteidae
Source: RefSeq, a predicted model, not a curated record